Non-coding RNA from Acanthosepion pharaonis, 108 nucleotides. Lineage: Eukaryota; Metazoa; Mollusca; Cephalopoda; Sepiida; Sepiidae. The record is from the annotation of a GenBank genome assembly.
UUACGGCCAUAUCACGUUGAAACACUGGUUCCUGUACGAUCACCAAAGUUAAGCAACAUCGAAGCUGGUCAGUACCUAGAUGCAUGACCGCUUGGAAGUACCAGGUGC